Molecule: ribosomal RNA, 253 nt
Filed under: uncultured bacterium
Lineage: Bacteria
Description: partial 16S ribosomal RNA
Rfam family: Bacterial small subunit ribosomal RNA
Source: RNAcentral
UACGUAGGUGGCGAGCGUUGUCCGGAUUUACUGGGCGUAAAGGGAGCGUAGGCGGACUUUUAAGUGAGAUGUGAAAUACUCGGGCUCAACUUGAGUGCUGCAUUUCAAACUGGAAGUCUAGAGUGCAGGAGAGGAGAAUGGAAUUCCUAGUGUAGCGGUGAAAUGCGUAGAGAUUGGGAAGAACACCAGUGGCGAAGGCGAUUCUCUGGACUGUAACUGACGCUGAGGCUCGAAAGCGUGGGGAGCAAACAGG